Molecule: ribosomal RNA, 253 nt
Filed under: uncultured bacterium
Lineage: Bacteria
Description: partial 16S ribosomal RNA
Rfam family: Bacterial small subunit ribosomal RNA
Source: RNAcentral
UACGUAGGGUGCAAGCGUUGUCCGGAAUUAUUGGGCGUAAAGAGCUCGUAGGCGGUCUGUCGCGUCUGCUGUGAAAACUCAGGGCUUAACCCUGAGCUUGCAGUGGGUACGGGCAGACUAGAGUGCGGUAGGGGAGACUGGAAUUCCUGGUGUAGCGGUGAAAUGCGCAGAUAUCAGGAGGAACACCGAUGGCGAAGGCAGAUCUCUGGGCCGUAACUGACGCUGAGGAGCGAAAGCGUGGGGAGCGAACAGG